UACGUAGGGUGCGAGCGUUAAUCGGAAUUACUGGGCGUAAAGCGUGCGCAGGCGGUGCGCCAAGCUCGAUGUGAAAGCCCCGGGCUUAACCUGGGAAUUGCAUUGAGGGCUGGCGUGCUCGAGUGCGGCAGAGGGGGGUGGAAUUCCACGUGUAGCAGUGAAAUGCGUAGAGAUGUGGAGGAACACCGAUGGCGAAGGCAGCCCCCUGGGCCGACACUGACGCUCAUGCACGAAAGCGUGGGGAGCAAACAGG
This 253-nucleotide ribosomal RNA is filed under the name uncultured bacterium. RNAcentral's name for it is "partial 16S ribosomal RNA". It matches the Rfam family "Bacterial small subunit ribosomal RNA", at positions 524 to 776 of the family's 1533-position model. The record is from RNAcentral.